GUGAAGAAGGCCUUCGGGUUGUAAAGCACUUUCAAUAGGGAGAAAAGGCCCGCGGUUAAUAGCCGUGGGAGUUGAUGUUACCUAUAGAAGAAGCACCGGCUAACUCCGUGCCAGCAGCCGCGGUAAUACGGAGGGUGCGAGCGUUAAUCGGAAUUACUGGGCGUAAAGCGCGCGUAGGCGGCCUGUUAAGUCAGCUGUGAAAGCCCCGGGCUCAACCUGGGAAUUGCAGUUGAUACUGUCAGGCUGGAGUACGAGAGAGGGAGGUAGAAUUCCAUGUGUAGCGGUGAAAUGCGUAGAUAUAUGGAGGAAUACCAGUGGCGAAGGCGGCCUCCUGGCUCGAUACUGACGCUGAGGUGCGAAAGCGUGGGUAGCAAACAGGAUUAGAUACCCUGGUAGUCCGCGCCGUAAACGAUGUCUACUAGCCGUUGGGUGACUUGAUUGCCUAGCGGCGCAGCUAACGCAUUAAGUAGACCGCCUGGGGAGUACGGCCGCAAGGUUG
This 499-nucleotide ribosomal RNA is filed under the name uncultured Pseudomonadota bacterium. RNAcentral describes it as "bacterial SSU rRNA". It matches the Rfam family "Bacterial small subunit ribosomal RNA", at positions 405 to 896 of the family's 1533-position model. Lineage: Bacteria; Pseudomonadati; Pseudomonadota. The record is from RNAcentral.